RNAcentral lists this transfer RNA (71 nucleotides) under Gaiellaceae bacterium. RNAcentral describes it as "tRNA-Lys". It matches the Rfam family "tRNA". From Rfam's summary of the family: Transfer RNA (tRNA) molecules are approximately 80 nucleotides in length. Their secondary structure includes four short double-helical elements and three loops (D, anti-codon, and T loops). Further hydrogen bonds mediate the characteristic L-shaped molecular structure. tRNAs have two regions of fundamental functional importance: the anti-codon, which is responsible for specific mRNA codon recognition, and the 3' end, to which the tRNAs corresponding amino acid is attached (by aminoacyl-tRNA synthetases). tRNAs cope with the degeneracy of the genetic code in two manners: having more than one tRNA (with a specific anti-codon) for a particular amino acid; and 'wobble' base-pairing, i.e. permitting non-standard base-pairing at the 3rd anti-codon position. Lineage: Bacteria; Bacillati; Actinomycetota; Thermoleophilia; Gaiellales; Gaiellaceae. The record is from RNAcentral. RNAcentral also lists the same sequence under 2 other names.
GGGGGCGUGGCCCGAAGGUCGGGCGGCAGACUUUUAAUCUGCUGGUCUCGGUUCGAUUCCGAGCGCCCCCA